This is a non-coding RNA of Potamilus streckersoni, 77 nucleotides long. NCBI's taxonomy places the organism in Eukaryota, Metazoa, Mollusca, Bivalvia, Unionida, Unionidae. The record is from the annotation of a GenBank genome assembly.
GACUGCUUUGGUUGCCUAGUGGUUAGAGCAUCCACCCUGGAUGCAGGAGGUUGUGGGUUCAAACCCCGACCAAGUCA